UACAGAGGGGGCAAGCGUUAUUCGGAAUUAUUGGGCGUAAAGGGCGCGUAGGCGGCUUUGCAAGUGACGGGUGAAAUCCCUCGGCUUAACCGAGGAACUGCCUGUCAAACUGCGAGGCUUGAGACCGGGAGAGGUGAGUGGAAUUCCCAGUGUAGCGGUGAAAUGCGUAGAUAUUGGGAGGAACACCAGUGGCGAAGGCGGCUCACUGGACCGGUACUGACGCUGAUGCGCGAAAGCGUGGGGAGCAAACAGG
This 253-nucleotide ribosomal RNA is filed under the name uncultured bacterium. RNAcentral describes it as "partial 16S ribosomal RNA". It matches the Rfam family "Bacterial small subunit ribosomal RNA", at positions 524 to 776 of the family's 1533-position model. The record is from RNAcentral.